Molecule: ribosomal RNA, 492 nt
Filed under: uncultured bacterium
Lineage: Bacteria
Description: partial 16S ribosomal RNA
Rfam family: Bacterial small subunit ribosomal RNA
Source: RNAcentral
AGUGAACGCUGGCGGUAGGCCUAACACAUGCAAGUCGAACGGCAGCACAGUAAGAGCUUGCUCUUACGGGUGGCGAGUGGCGGACGGGUGAGGAAUACAUCGGAAUCUACUUUUUCGUGGGGGAUAACGUAGGGAAACUUACGCUAAUACCGCAUACGACCUACGGGUGAAAGCAGGGGAUCUUAGGACCUUGCGCGAUUGAAUGAGCCGAUGUCGGAUUAGCUAGUUGGCGGGGUAAAGGCCCACCAAGGCGACGAUCCGGAGCUGGUCUGAGAGGAUGAUCAGCCACACUGGAACUGAGACACGGUCCAGACUCCUACGGGAGGCAGCAGUGGGGAAUAUUGGACAAUGGGCGCAAGCCUGAUCCAGACAUACCGCGUGGGUGAAGAAGGCCUUCGGGUUGUAAAGCCCUUUUGUUGGGAAAGAAAAGCAGCAGGUUAAUACCCCGCUGUUCUGACGGUACCCAAAGAAUAAGCACCGGCUAACUUCGUG